CCCGUAAAAACCAGUGUCUCUCACCUGCGUACUGUGUGCACUAUUCCAAUUUGUCAAUAACACAGGUAAUGCAUCCAAUGCAUAACGGUAUAAUGGCGCCCGGUUUACGACGACGUAAGCUUAAUUCACAGGCAGCUAAUGACUUCCCUUGAUCAUACAGCUGACUAAUGCAGUUAAUUACUCGACUGCAGAUCAUUCGCCGAACGCGAUCUGCGCACCUGGGACACACAAAGUCUGUGCACUAAUUGGGCCAAUCGGUAGGAGCCAGUCGUAACGUGAAAAAAUAGUGACUGUGGAAACGUUAUAUUCCGGUGAGUACGUAAACAGUCAUUUAUAAUUUUCCUAAAAGAUCUUCACCGCUUCUAUCACGUGUCGAACAAUCAAUCAGUAAAAUCGACCACAAUACUCUUAUUGUAAUGUCACGGAUAAUCAGAAACCCCGCUACGUACGUAAACGCCGUGAUCGAAUUUCAGCCGCGCUAGCUUGAUGGAACGACCGGGGAUUUCGUCGACAUUGUGUAGGUGGCGCGGCAGACUGUAGUACGUAAACACGAGGAAGCCAAGCCGAGUCGGCUAGGCUGGGGAGGGGAUAGGGAUCGGAGCUAUUGCAACGAGGACACUCGGCGUCUCGACACUGCCGCACUUAAGUCGAUCCAACAACAAGGAACGUCAAUGGCGUCUGGAGAGCGUCCUUCGUGAUGCGAACGACAAGCAGGGCAACAUUUGAUUAAUCUGAAGCAAUCGGUUGCGCGAUGCAGGCUGGGCAACGAAAAGGAACAAAAAGGAAUAAAGAAAAAGUGCUUUGGUUGGAUGGAUAUAAGCUGAGCGUCCUGGACGUAAUGCCUUUCCGGGAAAACAUUGGCCCGGACAAACUUUCCUCCAUGCAAGUUCCGUUUCGUGGCGAGGAACUUCCAACAGAGUCGGGCGGACGCUUACGACGAAUUAAGAUGCCCGGUUCCUUUGGGUCCCCUUGUGUACAGACCUUUACCCGUCUCGUCCGUCCAAACGCAAAUGGUCUCAACCGAGCAUUACGUUUCAGGUACAUUCGUGAAUUCACCUCAAGGAGAAAACUUGGGCUCGUAUGCGGUCCCAACAUUAAAUCCCUAUACAAGAGUAGAGAGCGAGGAGGAAGCCAUUUGCGGCGGUUGUAGCAGCGCUCUGUUAAUGCCAGCAGCAGCAGUGCCAGUCGUGCUAGUAUCACUGGUAAGAGUAGUAGCGACAAUAGUAGUAAGCAGUACUAAUACCGGUAGUACAGGGAAGCAAUGGAAUUUCAGUAGCGAUAAUAGAAAUACAUAACGAGAAAUCCAAGAGUAGAGGGAACACAGUGUAUAAACGACUGAUAAGUCUCAGGAAGGCGACCUGAUUCAUUCGGCGGUCCAAGUACAAUUUUUUGUUCUCUCUACUUUAUCGACGCGUUCUUGCUUCGCUGAACUAACAGCGCUAAAGUGACAGAUAGAUAAAGGAGUACGUGUAAUAAAUGUAAAAUUAACCGAACAGUUAUAAAUCUUAGCGCGAAGGAGAUACGAGAUUUUAUGUCCAUCAAAGUAUUAUCAAGGUCAAGCAUGAAAUUAUGUAUGCACUGUGAAGAAAAUCGUAUGGUUGUAAAUGACAUGAAGAACGACAAAUUGAAAUAGCAAGAACGAAAAAUUGUAUGAGGAUUUAUUAUUGUGCCUGCGAGUCUGAUAAAUGUUCUAGGACGCCAUCUUAUCGAAAUUGUUGUUACUAAUAAAUAUAAUUGAUGUUGAAAAAAUA
Molecule: long non-coding RNA, 1751 nt
Organism: Cephus cinctus (wheat stem sawfly)
Lineage: Eukaryota; Metazoa; Arthropoda; Insecta; Hymenoptera; Cephidae
Exons: 2
Source: RefSeq, a predicted model, not a curated record